RNAcentral lists this ribosomal RNA (388 nucleotides) under uncultured bacterium. Its description in RNAcentral is "bacterial SSU rRNA". It matches the Rfam family "Bacterial small subunit ribosomal RNA", at positions 30 to 420 of the family's 1533-position model. The record is from RNAcentral.
AUUGAACGCUGGCGGCAUGCCUUACACAUGCAAGUCGAACGGCAGCGGACCUUCGGGUGCCGGCGAGUGGCGAACGGGUGAGUAAUAUAUCGGAACGUACCUUUCAGUGGGGGAUAACGUAGCGAAAGUUACGCUAAUACCGCAUAUUCUGUGAGCAGGAAAGCAGGGGGAUCGCAAGACCUUGCGCUGAUUGAGCGGCCGAUAUCAGAUUAGCUAGUUGUGAGGUAAAGGCUCACCAAGGCGACGAUCUGUAGCGGGGUCUGAGAGGAUGAUCGCCACACUGGAACUGAGACACGGUCCAGACUCCUACGGGAGGCAGCAGUGGGGAAUUUUGGACAAUGGGCGCAAGCCUGAUCCAGCCAUGCCGCGUGAGUGAAGAAGGCCUCGG